UGCAGGUAAGAACAGUGAAAGUCAGCAACAUUUCCCUGGCUGUAUCAGAAAGGGACAUCAAGGAAUUCUUUUCCUUCUCAGGGGACAUUCAAUAUAUUGAAUUGCGGAGCGAAUCUGAAAGGUCUCAGAUUGCUUAUGUCACUUUCAAGGAGUCACAGGGAGCAGACACAGCAAUGCUUCUCUGAGUGAGUUAAAUUUUAAUAAUGCAAAUUACUCGCUAACAUGUUCCAAUCUCAGGAAAAGAAAUUUUACAAAUAACCUUCAUGUCCUUCAUGUUUUUCUAAUAUACAAUCUGGAAGAUUUUGGGUGCACCAUUUCAGUUCUUUAUGGAUGCAGGGAGCAACUAUAGCUGAUCUUUGUGUCAGCAUUACGCCAGUUGAGGAUUACCAGCUUCCUCCUGAAGCUUACAAAGAGAUACAGGAAGGGAAGCUCUCGUC
Non-coding RNA from Phoenix dactylifera (date palm), 437 nucleotides. NCBI's taxonomy places the organism in Eukaryota, Viridiplantae, Streptophyta, Magnoliopsida, Arecales, Arecaceae. The record is from RefSeq and is a predicted model, not a curated record.